RNAcentral lists this small RNA (266 nucleotides) under Arabidopsis thaliana (thale cress). RNAcentral's name for it is "ATSL291930". The record is from RNAcentral. Lineage: Eukaryota; Viridiplantae; Streptophyta; Magnoliopsida; Brassicales; Brassicaceae.
AGAAUUUAUUAUAAUUAAUCCUAGACAUAUUUGUGUUCUUUACUCUUAUCAAUUUAUCAUUGCAUCAGAACCAGCUUAGAAAUUAAGAUUGAAAGCUCUGAUACUAUAAUAAAGUUACAUAAAUUUCUAACCCAAAACCAAUUGGCAAUAAGUACAGCGACUUAUGUCUCUUAUAUAUUACUCAAUGUCUCAUUACAUGCUUCCUAAACAUUAUAGAUCUUAAUCUUAUGACCUAAUAAUCCCUACCUUAAUCUCUAACACACAUU